AUAAAAACCCUCCCCCACCUCAAAAAAAAACCUCCUUUUAGAUGCUCUGGAUUUGUUAAAAUUCAGAGAUUUACAAAAAAAAAAAUUAACACACACAGAAAAAAUAUAAAAAUAAAAAUAAACCAACCCCAAAUUUGGGUUUUGGGACACACCGAGUCUUCCAGGCACUCAGCAGGGAGGUCCCCGAGGGUCGUGUCCCCAAUUUGGGGCUGGCGGUGGCCGCGGGGACGCCGGAGCCCGGUGGGUUUUAGGGGGGAAGGCAGCGGCGUCCCCGGUGUCACCUCCGUGUCCCCUGGGGUGACCGGGAGGGGAGGGCUCGGUGGUCCCAAAAGCCGAGACCCCCAGGGAGGCAUUAAACAAAAAAUUCUUGUGGUGCUAAGAGGGGAGGACAGGGAGAUUCGUCCUGACCCUCGACCGUCUCCGAACCUUUCCGAGCUUGCCAGGGAAAAGGGCCCGGAGCUCCGCCGGGACACCGGGGUGGCACUGGGGUGGCCCCAGGGUGUCACCUGUCCUGUGUCAGGGCACUGGGAUGUCCCCAGAAUGUCACCUGUCCUGUGCCAGGGCACCGGGGUGGCCCCAGGAUGUCACCUGUCCAGUGCCAGGGCACUGGGAUCUCCUCAGGAUGUCACCUGUCCUGUGCCAGGACACCGGGACCUCCCUGGGAUGUCACCUGUCCUGUGCCAGGACACUGGGAUGUCCCCAGAAUGUCACCUGUCCUGUGCCAGGGCACCGGGGUGGCCCCAGGAUGUCACCUGUCCUGUGUCAGGGCACUGGGAUGUCCCCAGGAUGUCACCUGCCCUGUGCCAGGACACUGGGACCUCUCCAGGAUGUCCCCAGGGUGUCCCCAGGGUGUCCCCAGGAUGUCACCUGUCCUGUGCCAGGGCACUGGGAUGUCCCCAGGAUGUCACCUGUCCUGUGCCAGGACACCGGGGUGGCCCUGGGGUGGCCCCGGGGUGUCACCUGUCCUGUGCCAGGACACUGGGACCUCUCCAGGAUGUCCCCAGGAUGUCCCCAGGGUGUCCCCAGGGUGUCCCCUACCCUUUGCCCAGCAUGUCCCCGAGAUGUCCCCUGCCCUGUGCCAGCCACCGGGAUGUCCCCAGGAGGGUCCCCGGUGCCACCUCCUUGUUCCCGAGCCCUCACCCAGGUGGCGACACCCGGAGCUCUCCGGAAGCCACCAGGGCUGCGUGGCCUGUCCCUGUCCCCGGCUGCCACCCCGCUGUCCCAACCGGGACGGGAGCGCCUCGUCGGGAUAAAAAAAUCCCGGGAGAACCAAAAUCCCGGGAAUUCCGGGCUCGGUGAGCCCGGGCACCUGCCCGAGCCCUCACCUGUGUCACCGCGGGUGCCACCGCACCUGGCAGGUGUCCCCAGCCCCGCAGGGGGAACGCCGAGCUCAGGUCCUGCCCCUCGGCCGUGUCCCCGUGAUGUCACCGAUGUCACCCCCGAGGCAGCGCCCGUGUCCCCAGGUCUGCCCUGCCAGCCCCGCUGCGUCCUCAGGUGUCACCCUCGGCCCCCAAAUCCUCUGUGACAGAGCCCCCCAUGGUCACCUGCCCGCAAUCUGCCCUCCUGUGCCCCCCAAAUCCGCCCUCCUGUGCCCCCCAAAUCCAUCCCCCUGUGCCCCCCAAAUCUAUCCCACAUGUGCCCCGCAAAUCCAUCUCAUCUGUGCCCCCAAAUCUGUCCCCCUGUGCCCCAAAUCCAGCCCCCUGUGCCCCAAAUCUGCCC
RNAcentral lists this long non-coding RNA (1719 nucleotides) under Parus major (Great Tit). RNAcentral describes it as "lncRNA (ENSPMJG00000006204.1)". Lineage: Eukaryota; Metazoa; Chordata; Aves; Passeriformes; Paridae. The record is from RNAcentral.